UACGUAGGGUGCGAGCGUUAAUCGGAAUUACUGGGCGUAAAGCGUGCGCAGGCGGUUCGUGAAGUCCGAUGUGAAAGCCCUGGGCUUAACCUAGGAAUGGCAUUGGAAACUGGCGGGCUAGAGUUUGGCAGAGGGGGGUGGAAUUCCUGGUGUAGCAGUGAAAUGCGUAGAGAUCAGGAGGAACACCGAUGGCGAAGGCAGCCCCCUGGGCUAGAACUGACGCUCAGGCACGAAAGCGUGGGGAGCAAACAGGAUUAGAAACCCCAGUAGUCC
RNAcentral lists this ribosomal RNA (273 nucleotides) under uncultured bacterium. Its description in RNAcentral is "partial 16S ribosomal RNA". It matches the Rfam family "Bacterial small subunit ribosomal RNA", at positions 524 to 796 of the family's 1533-position model. The record is from RNAcentral.